RNAcentral lists this ribosomal RNA (253 nucleotides) under uncultured bacterium. RNAcentral describes it as "partial 16S ribosomal RNA". It matches the Rfam family "Bacterial small subunit ribosomal RNA", at positions 524 to 776 of the family's 1533-position model. The record is from RNAcentral.
UACGAAGGGGGCUAGCGUUGUUCGGAAUUACUGGGCGUAAAGCGCACGUAGGCGGAUUGUUAAGUUAGGGGUGAAAUCCCGGGGCUCAACCCCGGAACUGCCUUUAAUACUGGCAAUCUCGAGUCCGAGAGAGGUGAGUGGAAUUCCGAGUGUAGAGGUGAAAUUCGUAGAUAUUCGGAGGAACACCAGUGGCGAAGGCGGCUCACUGGCUCAGUACUGACGCUGAGGUGCGAAAGCGUGGGGAGCAAACAGG